GGUGUGGAUCAUUCUUGAGCAUCCCAUCUGUUGGUGUGAUGUGUCACACCAGCAUAUCUCCUUUCUCGUUUAGUUGGCUUACGAAGGCAAUUGGAUUGGAGUUCAUCCCGCUUUCCUGCGGUGUUUGGCGUGCAUGUGAAGUAGAGGGUCUGCAUAUCCAAACCUCCAUGAAGGUUUAAUCCAAAUAAAUUGAGAUUUGAUCUCUGGUUC
Molecule: long non-coding RNA, 210 nt
Filed under: Elaeis guineensis (African oil palm)
Lineage: Eukaryota; Viridiplantae; Streptophyta; Magnoliopsida; Arecales; Arecaceae
Description: long non-coding RNA (EGUI_LNC070652)
Source: RNAcentral